RNA transcript from Macrosteles quadrilineatus (aster leafhopper), 2862 nucleotides. It is a transcript of the gene named SNF-related serine/threonine-protein kinase-like, with no coding region annotated. NCBI's taxonomy places the organism in Eukaryota, Metazoa, Arthropoda, Insecta, Hemiptera, Cicadellidae. The transcript has 13 exons. The record is from RefSeq and is a predicted model, not a curated record.
AAAGGGAGUAAUGGAGCUUUUGUAGGCGUAGUUUAUUCUGCAGUAUUCGGGUUUCGGGUUUAUAAAGCUAUUUCAGCGUCCUACCUAGACAGUGUUACUUUUAGGGGUCUGCAUUUUAAGGUAGUGAAAUAAGUGGAUUUUGUAUUAUUUUCAAUGUGACUACUUAUAGUUGAGUGACAGGACAAACUCAGGAGGAAUCGUCUCCCCUUUACAUUGCUGAAGAAGCUAAAGUGUCGAGAUGCACAAGAGUCGCGCGGCGUCGUACGAUGGCAAGAUCGCAGGACUGUACGACCUGGAGGCGACGCUGGGCAGUGGACACUUUGCUGUGGUCAAGCUGGCGCGUCACGUCUUCACUGGCGAGAAGGUUGCGGUCAAGGUCAUCGAUAAGACCAAGCUGGACGACGUCUCCAGAGAUCAUCUGUUCCAAGAGGUGCGAUGUAUGAAGCUGGUGCAACACCCGAACGUUGUGCGGCUUUACGAGGUGAUAGACACACAGACCAAGCUAUACCUCAUACUGGAGCUGGGCGACGGAGGCGACUUGUACGACUACAUCAUGCGACACGAGGCGGGACUGAGCGAGGGAGUGGCGCGUGAGUACUUCCGUCAGAUAGUGCGUGCCAUCUCCUACUGCCACAAGCUGCACGUCGUACAUCGGGACUUGAAACCGGAGAAUGUGGUGUUCUUCGAGAGGGUCGGAGUUGUCAAACUGACAGACUUUGGUUUCAGCAAUAGAUUCUGUCCUGGCCAGAAGCUGGAGACUUCUUGUGGAUCUCUUGCUUAUUCAGCGCCGGAGAUUCUCCUCGGAGAUUCUUACGACGCUCCCGCAGUCGACGUCUGGUCGCUGGGAGUCAUACUGUACAUGUUGGUGUGUGGCCAGGCUCCCUUCCAAGAGGCUAAUGACAGCGAGACCCUCACUAUGAUCAUGGACUGCAAGUACACUGUGCCAAGUCACGUCUCUGAAGGCUGCCGCAGGCUGAUAGGCCGGAUGUUGGUGAGGCAGCCGGAGAAGAGGGCCACUCUGGAGGAGAUAGCCAGUGAUUCGUGGCUGGUAGAGGGAGAUACGGGUCAAGACUUGUCCAUGCCUCUAGUAUCCAGACAACAACUGUCAGAUGAGGACCAUACCCUCAUAGUGCAGAAGAUGGUCAAUGGAAAGAUUGCUACCAAAGAGGAAAUAUUAGAUGCGCUGGAUAAAAAUGAGUACAACCACAUAACGGCGACCUACUUCUUGCUGGCCGAGAGGAAACUGAGGUCGCAGGAGCCGAAGCAAGUCAAGAGCCCGGGUGUGUGUGCGCCGAGUGUGCGGGUGGACUCGUGUGAAGGUUCGACGCCGGUCGUUGCGCCUGCGCCCACGUCCGUCGGACUGCUGAGGUCGGCCGAGCGAGCGCGCAAGUGCAGCAUCGUGGCGGAAGAGGAGGACGACGAAGAUGACCGAGGCAGCUGCGGAAGUCACUCCUCUUUGAGCCGUCGUGGCAGCCGCAGUGAGGGUAAACUGCAUCUGGCCGUGCAGGAGCUGCGGAGGGAGGCGGUACCUGUUAAUAUCAUCACUGAGGCGUCCACGGCACCCAGUCCUCUCCACACGUCGGGACACGCUCCAGUAAGGUCAGUCAAGACACUUCCUGCACCUCUCCCCACUGCACUCAGCUCACCUCAGAUAGGUCUGGGCGAGAUCUCCGAGGAAGGGAAGGAGGGGCAGGCCAAGCCCACGGGCACGCCGCGCUUCACAGCCUACGAACAACGGAGAAACAAGUUCCGCAAGACUCGGACUGCGUCGUGUAGCUCGUCUGAUGCCAGUGACGAAGACUCUGAGGGGAGAAAGAAACGUGGGAGUACAAAGUCCCUACACAGAGGGAGAGAUCCCCAGGAUCCGGGGGGAAGUGGGGGAGGUUCCGGAGGGACAGGUGGCGCUCCACCUCCAGGGGGAAGUGCGUCAGGGGGAGCAGGUAACUUCCCGCCAGCCAGUAAGGGUCUAGGAGGUGCUGGACCGGGCCAGGGAGGCCCCACCCAAGGUCAUCGCCAGUGUCUCAACAGCCGUCACCGUCGCAGGGCCGGGGAAACACGACUCAGGGAGAGUCAAAGUCUAAACAGGAUUACUGAGGUUCAGGAAGGAGAGCCGCCGGUGUCGCCCAAACUGCCGCCCAGCCCUGUAGAGCGUGAUGCUGCAGAGGUGAGGAAACACCAGUCCAAGCGUAACGCUCUCAUCGGCCGAUACCUCAGUCUGCAGCGCAAGCUGUGCGUGUGGAGCCGCGGCCGUGUACGCAAGGACAUCAACCAGAACCUCGGCUCUGCGGCAGUCGCGGUACGUGUCAUUGACUUCAGUUCUAGAGGUUGAGUUCAUAAAUGUCGCAAAGGUUGCAGCUUCCAUCGGGAUGUGUCACCUGCAUUCUCACAUGGGAGGUGAUACCAAAUGCUGCAAUCUCUGCUGACACAAUAUUAACGACUGAGCCGUGGUGGGGACGUUGUAGGUCUGAGUUGUUUGUUCUCUGCUGGUCGGCUGACUCCAACCCAGAUCUCCGAGUCUCACUACGGCCAACACGACAGAAUCAAAUCUAUUCCAAAGUCUUGUGUCAUCUUCGUAAGUCACCACCAAAGCAAUAAUAAUAGUUGGAUUUCCGUCGCCUUUUCGUUCGUUUUGAACUUUGGUUACGAUAUUGAUCGUCAAAAUUUUAAACACAACCAAAGCUGUAAUUUUAAGGUUAUCGCUUUAAACGUGUCUUAAGUAAUUUAUUAAUGUUAUUUAAUGUUAAGUCCAUUCUGUAAAAUAUUUGUACAUAUAAUUUGCAUUUGUUUGUUAUGUUUUUUAAUAGUUUACAUUUUACAUUUAUAUCCAUCCGUUUCACUGUAGUUUAUAUUUAAGUGUUUAAU